This 1583-nucleotide ribosomal RNA is filed under the name Triticum aestivum (bread wheat). Its description in RNAcentral is "partial small subunit ribosomal RNA". The record is from RNAcentral. Lineage: Eukaryota; Viridiplantae; Streptophyta; Magnoliopsida; Poales; Poaceae.
AAUGCUAGACCUCUUGGUCUUAGCCAUGGUUUCCUCUCCUAUUUGGUUGCAGUACGCUGUUGGGACUUUGGGAUGGCUAGAACAUUCAAUUGGCUGUGAUGAUCUCUUACUAAGGUCUUGUCUCCAGUUGUAGCUUUGCACCUGCAACAGCCAACAGAUACUCUCCUUCCAGGCCAAUUUCUGAUUGGUAGCUAGACCCUAACUCUCAAAAUAUGGUACUUUCAUGUUGGGUUUCAAAUGCCCAUUUCCUCCAUGUGGUUUAGGUUUCACGUUUGGCAUAUGGUCAUUAGAUCAUCACCUUAUAGCCCUCUUUAAUCUUGGCGUCCGUUGAGGAUCAUGUCGUCUUUAACCCUUGGUAUUGGCGUAUUACUAGGGUACUCUAUCAGUUCUGUGUAUCUGUAAUUCGGUAGUAGGGUACUCUGGCUCUGGCUCUGUGUUGUGGUCUUGGUGAUCUGCUCCAGCCUCCAGAGAGUAGUACGAUGACGAUUGAAACUGUUGUUCUACUGAUGGCAGAUGUGUUAGCAGUCAUCCUUAUUGGUCUGGUUCUUUUGCGAGUAAUGGGAAAACAGAAGUUUUGUACGGCGGAUAAACCAGUGAAUUCCAAUAGCGGCCUCACGAUCUUCUCGGAUACUCAGAUAAAGAGAGCAACUAGAAAUUUCUCGGAGAAACUUGGAGAAGGAGGCUUCGGCUGUGUUUUCAAGGGGACAUUGCAAGGUUCCUCCGUGGUGGCCGUCAAAAAGCUUAAAGACAUUAGGCAAGGGGAGAAGCAAUUCCGAGCAGAAGUGCAAACAGUUGGAAUCAUCCAGCACAUCAAUCUUGUUCGUUUAUAUGGGUUUUGUGCCGAGGGAAGCAAGAGGUUGCUGAUAUACGAGUACAUGGAGAACGGAUCUUUGAGUUCCCAUCUGUUUUCAAGGACUUCUGUAAAGCUAAUCUGGGAGCUCCGGUACCGUAUAGCAUUUGGGAUUGCAAGAGGCUUGGCUUAUCUACACGAGGAAUGCGAGGACUGCAUUAUACACUGCGACAUGAAGCCGGACAAUGUGCUCCUUGAUGCACAUUUCUGUCCUAAGAUUGCAGACUUCGGUAUGGCGAAGCUUCUUGGUCGAGAUUUCAACAGGGCCCUGACAACAAUGCGGGGAACCAUCGGAUACCUUGCACCGGAGUGGAUCUCGGGGCUUCCCAUCACACACAAAUCUGAUGUUUACAGCUACGGAAUGACACUUCUUGAGAUUAUAUCAGGGCGAAGGAAUGCAGAGAAAAUUAAGGAAGGGAGGUUCACUUACUUUCCCAUCUUUGCUGCAGUCAAGGUGGCCGAAAGAGAUGUCAUGUGCCUGCUGGAUAGUUGGCUGGAUGGCUAUGUCAAUGUCGAGCAGCUGAGCAGAGCUUGCAAGAUCGCAUGCUGGUGCAUCCAAGAUGAUGAGGAUCACAGGCCAAUGAUGGGGCAAGUUGUUCGCAUGCUAGAGGGUGUCAUGGAUGUUGAAGUGCCUUCUGUUGCGAGAACUAAACGAGUCUAUGCUUUAACUGGCCAAAGAGAAGAAAGAAAGAUUUUGGGAACCAGAUCCUCUGACUUGCACAAGGCAAGUUAG